UAGCGGGCGCAGCUACCAUGCAGUCGAGCGGUAACAGAUCCAGCUUGCUGGAUGCUGACGAGCGGCGGACGGGUGAGUAAUGCAUAGGAAUCUGCCCGAUAGUGGGGGAUAACCUGGGGAAACCCAGGCUAAUACCGCAUACGUCCUACGGGAGAAAGGGGGCUUCGGCUCCCGCUAUCGGAUGAGCCUAUGUCGGAUUAGCUAGUUGGUGAGGUAACGGCUCACCAAGGCCACGAUCCGUAGCUGGUCUGAGAGGAUGAUCAGCCACAUCGGGACUGAGACACGGCCCGAACUCCUACGGGAGGCAGCAGUGGGGAAUAUUGGACAAUGGGGGGAACCCUGAUCCAGCCAUGCCGCGUGUGUGAAGAAGGCCCUCGGGUUGUAAAGCACUUUCAGCGAGGAAGAACGCCUAGCGGUUAAUACCCGCUAGGAAAGACAUCACUCGCAGAAGAAGCACCGGCUAACUCCGUGCCAGCAGCCGCGGUAAUACGGAGGGUGCAAGCGUUAAUCGGAAUUACUGGGCGUAAAGCGCGCGUAGGUGGCUUGAUAAGCCGGUUGUGAAAGCCCCGGGCUCAACCUGGGAACGGCAUCCGGAACUGUCAAGCUAGAGUGCAGGAGAGGAAGGUAGAAUUCCCGGUGUAGCGGUGAAAUGCGUAGAGAUCGGGAGGAAUACCAGUGGCGAAGGCGGCCUUCUGGACUGACACUGACACUGAGGUGCGAAAGCGUGGGUAGCAAACAGGAUUAGAUACCCUUGGUAGUCA
Molecule: ribosomal RNA, 761 nt
Filed under: Vreelandella aquamarina
Lineage: Bacteria; Pseudomonadati; Pseudomonadota; Gammaproteobacteria; Oceanospirillales; Halomonadaceae
Description: bacterial SSU rRNA
Rfam family: Bacterial small subunit ribosomal RNA
Source: RNAcentral